RNAcentral lists this ribosomal RNA (443 nucleotides) under uncultured bacterium. Its description in RNAcentral is "partial 16S ribosomal RNA". It matches the Rfam family "Bacterial small subunit ribosomal RNA", at positions 338 to 795 of the family's 1533-position model. The record is from RNAcentral.
CCUACGGGAGACAGCAGUGGGGAAUAUUGGGCAAUGGGCGCAAGCCUGACCCAGCAACGCCGCGUGAAGGAAGAAGGCUUUCGGGUUGUAAACUUCUUUUCUCAGGGACGAAGAAAGUGACGGUACCUGAGGACUAAGCCACGGCUAACUACGUGCCAGCAGCCGCUGUAAUACGUAGGUGGCAAGCGUUAUCCGGAUUUACUGGGUGUAAAGGGCGUGUAGGCGGGGAAGCAAGUCAGAUGUGAAAACCACGGGCUCAACCUGUGGCCUGCAUUUGAAACUGUUUGUCUUGAGUACUGGAGAGGCAGACGGAAUUCCUAGUGUAGCGGUGAAAUGCGUAGAUAUUAGGAGGAACACCAGUGGCGAAGGCGGUCUGCUGGACAGCAACUGACGCUGAGGCGCGAAAGCGUGGGGAGCAAACAGGAUUAGAUACCCUGGUAGUC